Molecule: long non-coding RNA, 649 nt
Filed under: Monodelphis domestica (gray short-tailed opossum)
Lineage: Eukaryota; Metazoa; Chordata; Mammalia; Didelphimorphia; Didelphidae
Description: lncRNA (ENSMODG00000038260.1)
Source: RNAcentral
UGAGGGAAUAGAGGAGUAUGUGUCAGGAAGAGAGGGAAAGCCAGUAGGGCUUUGAAGCUCAGACUGUGAGAGGCAGAGUAGUAUACCAUAAGGCUAGGAAAAUAGAUUGGGACCAGGUGGUGAGGGCCUUUAAAGACUAAAUAGAGCUUACCUUUGAUCCCAGAGGCAAUAGAAAGCCACCAGUUUAUCGAGUAGGAGAAGAGAAACAACCAGAUCUCUAUUAAGGAAAAUAAUUUUGGCUACAGUGUGUAGAAUGGCCAGAAAGAGGCAAGAAGGCCAUUGCAAUAGACCAGCUUUCUGAUGUUAUCACAAAAAACGGCACGGAAAAGUCAGUCCACUCUGGAAAGGACACUCUGUCUCCGAACUGUCUCUUGUGCACCUGCUUCAUGCCUGUAAUUCCCCUCCUAUGUACCUCCUGGCUUCUCAUCCUUUUUUCAAGACUCAGCUAAAAUCUCACCUUUUGCAGUAAGUCUUUUCCACUUGAGAUUACUCUGUAUGAACAUGAAUUGUUUUUGUAUUUCCUCCUCCUUAGAAUGUGAGCUCCUUGAGAGCAAGGGUUGUUUUUUCCUUUCUUUUUACCUCCAUCAUAGUGCCUGAAAUAUAGUAAGAUGUUUAAGGUUUAAUAAAUGCUGAUUGAUUGAUUGAUUCA